CACGUAGGUGGUUUCGUGUGUCGAUGGUGAAAUCCUGCAGCUCAACUGUAGAACUGCCGUCGAAACUACGAGGCUAGAGGACAGGAGGGGAGAGUGGAAUUCCUAGUGUAGCGGUGAAAUGCGUAGAUAUUAGGAGGAACGCCGGUGGCGAAAGCGACUCCCUGGACUGUUUCUGACACUGAGGUGCGAAAGCUAGGGGAGCAAACA
RNAcentral lists this ribosomal RNA (207 nucleotides) under uncultured bacterium. RNAcentral describes it as "partial 16S ribosomal RNA". It matches the Rfam family "Bacterial small subunit ribosomal RNA", at positions 568 to 774 of the family's 1533-position model. The record is from RNAcentral.